Cyprinodon tularosa is the source of this 960-nucleotide long non-coding RNA. RefSeq lists it as uncharacterized. The record is from RefSeq and is a predicted model, not a curated record. The transcript has 3 exons. Lineage: Eukaryota; Metazoa; Chordata; Actinopteri; Cyprinodontiformes; Cyprinodontidae.
CCUCUGUGAAAAAUAAUGCCUACAUCUGUGGUAACACCAUCAAGCUCUGCUCCAAGUUCCUUAAGGCCCAAAGAGAUUAUGCAUGCAAGGUCCAGCCAGAGCCAAGUUGACUGUGUGGGACAGAAAGUCAUUGCGGAUACCGGUGUGCGGUUUGUUAAACAACUCCUGGAUGUAUAAAGCCAUUUCAUCUACAAUGCAAAGGGAAACACCGGAGGAAGAACGCCACCAAAGAGUCUGUGGCUUCAAAAUGGCAGGGGCCAGGCAUCUGAGUAGCCAAUAUGCUGCCAUAUGGAGAAGAACUAGUUUCCUGACACAGUGACACCACAGCCAAUUUAGACCUUGGGGAAGGAAGAGAAGUCUGUUGCAGAGAUGUUGGGAGCACCCCCACCAUACAAACCUGACGCCAAAGAGCAGAAAGCCCUGGACAACUCAAUGGCAAAGUGGAUUGGGCGUUCUGGUCUGCCUGCAAGGACCAUUGAGGAUGAGGACUUUGUGGAUAUGAUGAAACAAGCUGACAAAAGGUUCAAUGUGUACAGUGUGAUAUAUGUUAAAAAGAGAAUUAGUGUGUGGAGAAGUUCUAUUCUGCACACUGUUAUAUAAAUAAAAUUGAGAAAAAGACAUUUUUAACACCUCACUGAACCGAUCCGUAGUGCCAGCAUGCAUCAAGUCUCCCACCAUCAUUCCUGACAUUAAGAAGCCUCAGGUCACCUCACUCAAAGAUUACCGGCCUGUCGCACUGGCUCCAGUCAUGAUGAAGUGCUUAGAAAGGCUGGUUAAAGAACACAUCGUCUCCAGUCAACAUUUGACUCGUUCCAGUUCGCAUAUUGACGGAACCACUUCACUGAGGACGCCAUCUCUGCUGCUUUCCACCUGAUCCUGGCACACCUGGAGGAGAAGAACAGCCAAGUGCGGAUGCUGUUCCUGGACUUCAGUUUAGUUUUCAACACCAUCAUCCCACAA